AGAUUUAGAGGAUGUGAUGUCUGAUCGCCAGGAUUGAUUUGUCUGAUUGGCUGUCAGGUGGGUGUCCCUUUCAUCCCUCACUGCUCCGUGUGCUUUGCUCCUGAAGCUGCUGGCUCUCUAGGUCAGUCUGAGGAAGAGGAUGGGCUUCCCCCAAUAGGGGAGGACCUGCCUUCAGUAGAGGGUAUAGGAGUAGCUGCGCUCCCCUGCUAGAAUCUCCAAACAAGAAAGUUCAGAGAUAAGCCGGACUGAAAGAAAGAUGUCUGUGAUUUGAACAUCUGAUAAAGAUCCCACAUUCAAAGUGUGU
This is a non-coding RNA of Cricetulus griseus (Chinese hamster), 304 nucleotides long. NCBI's taxonomy places the organism in Eukaryota, Metazoa, Chordata, Mammalia, Rodentia, Cricetidae. The record is from Rfam.